Molecule: ribosomal RNA, 253 nt
Filed under: uncultured bacterium
Lineage: Bacteria
Description: partial 16S ribosomal RNA
Rfam family: Bacterial small subunit ribosomal RNA
Source: RNAcentral
UACGUAGGGUCCGAGCGUUGUCCGGAAUUAUUGGGCGUAAAGGGCUCGUAGGCGGUCUGUUGCGUCGGGAGUGAAAACUUACAGCUUAACUGUGAGCGUGCUUCCGAUACGGGCAGACUUGAGGUAUUCAGGGGAGAACGGAAUUCCUGGUGUAGCGGUGAAAUGCGCAGAUAUCAGGAGGGACACCGGUGGCGAAGGCGGUUCUCUGGGAAUAUCCUGACGCUGAGGAGCGAAAGUGUGGGGAGCGAACAGG